CCGAGGGUGUCCAGCUCUGCGGCCCAGCACUCUACAGACUUGUCCCUUGUGUGUGUGCGGUGUCUGUCUGUCUGCUUCCACAGGUUCUAAAGAAGUACCCACGCCUCUGGUGCAUGACCAAGCCCCCUAGCCGGCGGCCGAAGCUUUACAUCGUGAACCUGCAGUGGACCCCGAAGGAUGACUGGGCUGCCCUGAAGCUACAUGGGAAGUGUGAUGACGUCAUGCGGCUCCUCAUGGCCGAGCUGGGCUUGGAGAUCCCCGCCUAUAGCAGGUGAGUGAGCCGCUGCAGCAGCCUGCUUCCCCGCACCUCUGUGUGCUGGGCCUUGUCUGUCUUCUCUCGUGAGCUGAGUGUGGAGGAAGCUCUGAGGUGUUUGCAGUGGUGUCUGAGGCAUGACUGAAGCGUGGUGGUCUCCAGAGGGCCUGACCUCGGUGGUUGGCGGAGACCCUGCGUGUGCCACUCCUGCCCUG
RNAcentral lists this small RNA (468 nucleotides) under Pan troglodytes (chimpanzee). RNAcentral's name for it is "retained intron". Lineage: Eukaryota; Metazoa; Chordata; Mammalia; Primates; Hominidae. The record is from RNAcentral.